UUAUAGAAACACUAAAAAAACUAUUUAUUGUUUCUAAGCAAUAUUUUGUUGGUUGUAGCUUCUUUUGGGAGUAAAUGGGUAUAAGUGUUGUCUAAACACUUGUAAUCCAUCUCUAAAUCUAUAAUUAGUCAAAUGCAUUGGAUUAUAAAACAUUUUGACCAUCGACACACUAACAAAGCUAUUUACUGCUUCUAAGCAAAUUUUUGUUGGUUUUAGCCUCUUUUGGGAGAAAAUGGGUAUAAUUGUUGUCUAAACACUCCUAAUCCAUCUCUAACUCUAUAAUUAGUCCAAUGCAUUCGAUUGUGAAACAUUUUGACUAUAGAAACACUAACAAAUCUAUUGACUGCUUUUAAGCAAAUUUUUUUGGUUUUAGCCUCUUUUGGCCGAAAAUGGGUAUAAGUGUUAUCUAAACACUCCUAAUCCAUCUCUAACUCUUAUAAUUAGUCGAAUGCAUUGGAUUGUGAUACAUUUUGACCAUAUAAACACUAACAAAGCUAUUUAGUGCUUCUAAGCAAUAUUUUGUUGGUUAUAGCUUCUUUAGGGAGAAAAUGAGUAUAAUUAUUGUCUAAAUACGCCUACUCAAUCUCUAACUCUUAUAAUUAGUCGAAUGCAUUGGAUUGUGAAACAUUUUGACUAUAGAAACACUAACAAAUCUAUUGACUGCUUCUAAGCAAAUGUUUGUUGGUUUUAGCCUCGUUUGGGAUAAAAUGGGUAUAAGUGUUGUCUAAACACUCCAAAUCCAUCUCUAACUCUUAUAAUUAGUCGAAUGCAUUAGAUUGUGAUACCUUUUGACCAUAUAAACACUAACAAAGCUAUUUACUGCUUCUUAGCAAUAUUUUGUUGGUUAUAGCUUCUUUUGGGAGAAAAUGGGUAUAAGUGUUCUCUAAACACUCCUAAUCCAUCUCUAACUCUUAUAAUUAGGCAAAUGCAUUGGAUUGUGACACAUUUUGACUAUAGAAACUCUAACAAAUUUAUUGAAUGCUUCUAAGCAAGUUUUGUUGGUUUUAGACUCUUUUGGCAGAAAAUGGGUAUAAGUGUUGUCUAAACACUCCGAAUUCAUCUAUAACUCUUAU
This 1073-nucleotide small RNA is filed under the name Arabidopsis thaliana (thale cress). RNAcentral describes it as "ATSL036760". Lineage: Eukaryota; Viridiplantae; Streptophyta; Magnoliopsida; Brassicales; Brassicaceae. The record is from RNAcentral.